Molecule: ribosomal RNA, 472 nt
Filed under: uncultured bacterium
Lineage: Bacteria
Description: partial 16S ribosomal RNA
Rfam family: Bacterial small subunit ribosomal RNA
Source: RNAcentral
GACGAACGCUGGCGGCGUGCUUAACACAUGCAAGUCGAGCGGAAAGGCCCUUCGGGGUACUCGAGCGGCGAACGGGUGAGUAACACGUGAGUAAUCUGCCCUUGGCUUUGGGAUAACUACCGGAAACGGUGGCUAAUACCGGAUACGACAACCGUCUGCAUGGGCUGGUUGUGGAAAGUUUUUUCGGCCAGGGAUGUGCUCGCGGCCUAUCAGCUUGUUGGUGGGGUAAUGGCCUACCAAGGCUUCGACGGGUAGCCGGCCUGAGAGGGUGACCGGCCACACUGGGACUGAGACACGGCCCAGACUCCUACGGGAGGAAGCAGUGGGGAAUAUUGGACAAUGGGCGGAAGCCUGAUCCAGCAACGCCGCGUGAGGGAUGACGGCCUUCGGGUUGUAAACCUCUUUCAGUACCGACGAAGCGCCGAUGAUGGUGGUGACGGUAGGUACAGAAGAAGCACCGGCCAACUACGUG